Melitaea cinxia (Glanville fritillary) is the source of this 67-nucleotide small nucleolar RNA. NCBI's taxonomy places the organism in Eukaryota, Metazoa, Arthropoda, Insecta, Lepidoptera, Nymphalidae. The record is from RefSeq and is a predicted model, not a curated record.
AGAUAAAAUGAUGAUUUUAUAUCGCCCCAGUCUGAAGAAAUGUGUUGAUCGAUUUUUCUGAUUAUAG